RNAcentral lists this ribosomal RNA (447 nucleotides) under uncultured bacterium. RNAcentral's name for it is "partial 16S ribosomal RNA". It matches the Rfam family "Bacterial small subunit ribosomal RNA", at positions 330 to 792 of the family's 1533-position model. The record is from RNAcentral.
CCCAGACUCCUACGGGAGGCAGCAGUGGGGGAUAUUGCACAAUGGGGGAAACCCUGAUGCAGCGACGCCGCGUGGGCGAAGAAGUAUUUCGGUAUGUAAAGCCCUAUCAGCAGGGAAGAAGAAAUGACGGUACCUGAGUAAGAAGCCCCGGCUAACUACGUGCCAGCAGCCGCGGUAAUACGUAUGGUGCAAGCGUUAUCCGGAUUUACUGGGCGUAAAGGGAGCGCAGGCGGCGCGCCAAGUCUGAUGUGAAACCCCGGGGCUCAACCCCGGGCAUGCAUUGGAAACUGGCGGGCUGGAGUGCCGGAGAGGUAAGCGGAAUUCCUAGUGUAGCGGUGAAAUGCGUAGAUAUUAGGAGGAACACCAGUGGCGAAGGCGGUCUGCUGGACAGCAACUGACGCUGAGGCGCGAAAGCGUGGGGAGCAAACAGGAUUAGAUACCCGUGUA